RNAcentral lists this ribosomal RNA (467 nucleotides) under uncultured bacterium. RNAcentral describes it as "partial 16S ribosomal RNA". It matches the Rfam family "Bacterial small subunit ribosomal RNA", at positions 28 to 507 of the family's 1533-position model. The record is from RNAcentral.
GAUGAACGCUGGCGGCGUGCUUAACACAUGCGAGUCGAACGAUGAAGCCCAGCUUGCUGGGUGGAUUAGUGGCGAACGGGUGAGUAACACGUGAGCAACCUGCCCCUGACUCUGGGAUAAGCGCUGGAAACGGCGUCUAAUACUGGAUAUGUCCCGUCACCGCAUGGUGUGCGGGUGGAAAGAUUUUUCGGUUGGGGAUGGGCUCGCGGCCUAUCAGCUUGUUGGUGUGGUAAUGGCUCACCAAGGCGUCGACGGGUAGCCGGCCUGAGAGGGUGACCGGCCACACUGGGACUGAGACACGGCCCAGACUCCUACGGGAGGCAGCAGUGGGGAAUAUUGCACAAUGGGCGAAAGCCUGAUGCAGCAACGCCGCGUGAGGGAUGACGGCCUUCGGGUUGUAAACCUCUUUUAGCAGGGAAGAAGCGAAAGUGACGGUACCUGCAGAAAAAGCACCGGCUAACUACGUG